CGUGUAGGCGGCUGGGUAAGUCAGAUGUGAAAGCCCUGGGCUCAACCCAGGACGAGCAUUUGAAACUGCUCAGCUAGAGUGGGGGAGGGGAAAGUGGAAUUCCUGGUGUAGAGGUGAAAUUCGUAGAUAUCAGGAGGAACACCGGUGGCGAAGGCGGCUUUCUGGCCCUUAACUGACGCUGAGACGCGAAAGCGUGGGGAGCAAACAGGAUUAGAUACCCUGGUAGUCC
RNAcentral lists this ribosomal RNA (229 nucleotides) under uncultured bacterium. RNAcentral describes it as "partial 16S ribosomal RNA". It matches the Rfam family "Bacterial small subunit ribosomal RNA", at positions 568 to 796 of the family's 1533-position model. The record is from RNAcentral.